GACGAACGCUGGCGGCGUGCUUAACACAUGCAAGUCGAACGGAAAGGCCCUGCUUUUGUGGGGUGCUCGAGUGGCGAACGGGUGAGUAACACGUGAGUAACCUGCCCUUGACUUUGGGAUAACUUCAGGAAACUGGGGCUAAUACCGGAUAGGAGCUCCUGCUGCAUGGUGGGGGUUGGAAAGUUUCGGCGGUUGGGGAUGGACUCGCGGCUUAUCAGCUUGUUGGUGGGGUAGUGGCUUACCAAGGCUUUGACGGGUAGCCGGCCUGGGAGGGUGACCAGCCACAGUGGGACUGAGAUACGGCCCAGACUCCUACGGGGGGCAGCAGUGGGGAAUAUUGCACAAUGGGCGGAAGCCUGAUGCAGCAACGCCGCGUGCGGGAUGACGGCCUUCGGGUUGUAAACCGCUUUCGCCUGUGACGAAGCGUGAGUGACGGUAAUGGGUAAAGAAGCACCGGCUAACUACGUG
Molecule: ribosomal RNA, 468 nt
Filed under: uncultured bacterium
Lineage: Bacteria
Description: partial 16S ribosomal RNA
Rfam family: Bacterial small subunit ribosomal RNA
Source: RNAcentral